UUUUUUUACAGGUACCUGUUUCACAUGUCCGUGUCAGGGUACUCACAUGGUGGGCCUUGCUGCAAUUUUUUUUUAUUUUUUUUUACAUGUGGGGCUCGUUGCUACUGUGAGCUAUGUGGCAAGCCCCUGUGAACUAAUUGUCUAUACACUGGGAUUAAUUGUUUAAGCAAUACUUUUGGCAGCAUAUGACAAAGGUCACUGAUUG
This 205-nucleotide long non-coding RNA is filed under the name Olea europaea subsp. europaea. The record is from RNAcentral. Lineage: Eukaryota; Viridiplantae; Streptophyta; Magnoliopsida; Lamiales; Oleaceae.